CGGCAGCAGGUGGGCUGGCAGCACACAGACAGGCAGCACUGGGGGCGGCAGCAGCUGGACUCAUGGCACCUGGGGUGGUAGCAGGUGGUUCUGCAGCAGGUGGUCUGGCAGCAGCUGGGGCGGCAGCAGCUGGACUCACAGCACCUGGGGCGGCAGCAGGUGGGCUGGCAGCACACGGACUGGCAGCACUGGGGGCGGCAGCAGCUGGACUCACAGCACCUGGGGCGGCAGCAGGUGGGCUGGCAGCACACGGACUGGCAGCAUUGGGGGCGACAGCAGCUGGACUCACAGCACCUGGGGCGGCAGCAGGUGGGCUGGCAGCACAAGGACUGGCAGCACUGGGGUCUGCAGCAGCUGGACUCACAGCAUCUGGGGCGGUAGCACGUGGUCCUGCAGCAGGUGGUCUGGCAGCAGCUGGGGCGGCAGCAGCUGGAGUUGCAGCACCUGGGGCGACAGCAGGUAGGUUGGCAGCACACAGGCUGGCAG
Molecule: non-coding RNA, 486 nt
Organism: Vicugna pacos (alpaca)
Lineage: Eukaryota; Metazoa; Chordata; Mammalia; Artiodactyla; Camelidae
Source: RefSeq, a predicted model, not a curated record